UGGGGAAUAUUGGACAAUGGGGGCAACCCUGAUCCAGCCAUGCCGCGUGAGUGAAGAAGGCCCUAGGGUUGUAAAACUCUUUCGGCGGGGAAGAUGAUGACGGUACCCGCAGAAGAAGCCCCGGCUAACUCCGUGCCAGCAGCCGCGGUAAUACGGAGGGGGCUAGCGUUGUUCGGAAUCACUGGGCGUAAAGCGCGCGUAGGCGGUCCGCGUAGUCAGGCGUGAAAGCCCCGGGCUCAACCUGGGAACUGCGUUUGAUACUGGCGGGCUAGAGUACGGGAGAGGGUAGUGGAAUUCCCAGUGUAGAGGUGAAAUUCGUAGAUAUUGGGAAGAACACCAGUGGCGAAGGCGGCUACCUGGACCGUUACUGACGCUGAGGUGCGAAAGCGUGGGGAGCAAACAGG
Molecule: ribosomal RNA, 404 nt
Filed under: uncultured Rhodospirillaceae bacterium
Lineage: Bacteria; Pseudomonadati; Pseudomonadota; Alphaproteobacteria; Rhodospirillales; Rhodospirillaceae
Description: bacterial SSU rRNA
Rfam family: Bacterial small subunit ribosomal RNA
Source: RNAcentral